Molecule: long non-coding RNA, 776 nt
Filed under: Homo sapiens (human)
Lineage: Eukaryota; Metazoa; Chordata; Mammalia; Primates; Hominidae
Description: HSALNT0149643
Source: RNAcentral
UUAGAGCUGAAGCUUGUCAGAGUUCUCAUAACAAAUGCGUGAUUGAACUAAAUUCCAACCUGCCGCCUCUGGCGUUGGAGACUUACAGCACCUCAGUGCAUUCAUGGGGUGUGCUCUACCCUCUACCUUCGUGAUUUAUUUAAAGACCAAAUAUAAUGAAUAACAAUUCUUAGGCUUAAACCUAUAGCAGGCGUAGGAAAUAGUUCAAACCUUCUGACAUACAUGAACAAAUGCAAUCUUCAAAAACUACUGUUUUUGAAUCUGCGUGAAUGUACUGAACUCGUUGCUACCUUCAUUUAAAUGUGAUGUAUCAAAAGUGCUUUGUAAACUGUUAAAUUCCAAUGUUGACAUUGUUAUAGACACACUUUAUUAAAUACUGGAUGAUGAUUUUAUAAAGUACAGGGUUUUUAGCUGUGAAAUUAUUCUAAAAUAUGUAGACAAAAUUUUGAAUAAUCUUCCCAUUUUGAACACAAUGAUUGGUUUUAAAAUUCCCUUGAUUUAUAUGUUUGUAUACUGUGGAUUCUCAAUUGAGUGAAUUAGUGUCUUUGCAAUAUAGUAAGAUUUUGGUACAGUUUUUUUUUUUUAACUCAUCCACUUUAUUUUAUUUAUUUUUUUUCACUUUCUCUUUCUUUUUUUUAUUAUUAUACUUUAUGUUUUAGGGUACAUGUGCACAUUGUGCAGGUUAGUUACAUAUGUAUACAUGUGACAUGCUGCUGCGCUGCACCAACUAACUCGUCAUCUAGCAUUAGCAUUAGGUAUAUCUCCUAAUGCUAUCC